AAACGGAGGGUGCAAGCGUUGUUCGGAAUCACUGGGCGUAAAGGGCGCGCAGGCGGGUUGGUAAGUCAGAUGUGAAAGCCCACGGCGCAACCGUGGAAGUGCAUUUGAAACUGUCAGACUUGAGUACUAGAGGGGAAAGUGGAAUUCCCGGUGUAGAGGUGAAAUUCGUAGAUAUCGGGAGGAAUACCGGUGGCGAAGGCGACUUUCUGGCUAGAUACUGACGCUGAGGCGCGAAAGCGUGGGGAGCAAACAGGAUUAGAAACCCCAGUAGUCC
RNAcentral lists this ribosomal RNA (274 nucleotides) under uncultured bacterium. RNAcentral describes it as "partial 16S ribosomal RNA". It matches the Rfam family "Bacterial small subunit ribosomal RNA", at positions 523 to 796 of the family's 1533-position model. The record is from RNAcentral.